Molecule: ribosomal RNA, 468 nt
Filed under: uncultured bacterium
Lineage: Bacteria
Description: partial 16S ribosomal RNA
Rfam family: Bacterial small subunit ribosomal RNA
Source: RNAcentral
GACGAACGCUGGCGGCGUGCUUAACACAUGCAAGUCGAACGGAAAGGCCCUGCUUUUGUGGGGUGCUCGAGUGGCGAACGGGUGAGUAACACGUGAGUAACCUGCCCUUGACUUUGGGAUAACUUCAGGAAACUGGGGCUAAUACCGGAUAGGAGCUCCUGCUGCAUGGUGGGGGUUGGAAAGUUUCGGCGGUUGGGGAUGGACUCGCGGCUUAUCAGCUUGUUGGUGGGGUAGUGGCUUACCAAGGCUUUGACGGGUAGCCGGCCUGAGAGGGUGACCGGCCACAUUGGGACUGAGAUACGGCCCAGACUCCUACGGGAGGCAGCAGUGGGGAAUAUUGCACAAUGGGCGGAAGCCUGAUGCAGCAACGCCGCAUGCGGGAUGACGGCCUUCGGGUUGUAAACCGCUUUCGCCUGUGACGAAGCGUGAGUGACGGUAAUGGGUAAAGAAGCACCGGCUAACUACGUG